Molecule: ribosomal RNA, 2906 nt
Filed under: Campylobacter coli
Lineage: Bacteria; Pseudomonadati; Campylobacterota; Epsilonproteobacteria; Campylobacterales; Campylobacteraceae
Description: bacterial LSU rRNA
Rfam family: Bacterial large subunit ribosomal RNA
Source: RNAcentral
GUAAGCUACUAAGAGCGAAUGGUGGAUGCCUUGACUGGUAAAGGCGAUGAAGGACGUACUAGACUGCGAUAAGCUACGGGGAGCUGUCAAGAAGCUUUGAUCCGUAGAUUUCCGAAUGGGGCAACCCAAUGUAUAGAGAUAUACAUUACCUAUAUAGGAGCGAACGAGGGGAAUUGAAACAUCUUAGUACCCUCAGGAAAAGAAAUCAAUAGAGAUUGCGUCAGUAGCGGCGAGCGAAAGCGCAAGAGGGCAAACCCAGUGCUUGCACUGGGGGUUGUAGGACUGCAAUGUGCAAGAGGUGAGUUUAGCAGAACAUUCUGGAAAGUAUAGCCAUAGAGGGUGAUAGUCCCGUAUGCGAAAAACAAACCUUAGCUAGCAGUAUCCUGAGUAGGGCGGGACACGAGAAAUCCUGUCUGAAGCUGGGUCGACCACGAUCCAACCCUAAAUACUAAUACCAGAUCGAUAGUGCACAAGUACCGUGAGGGAAAGGUGAAAAGAACUGAGGUGAUCAGAGUGAAAUAGAACCUGAAACCAUUUGCUUACAAUCAUUCAGAGCACUAUGUAGCAAUACAGUGUGAUGGACUGCCUUUUGCAUAAUGAGCCUGCGAGUUGUGGUGUCUGGCAAGGUUAAGCAAACGCGAAGCCGUAGCGAAAGCGAGUCUGAAUAGGGCGCUUAGUCAGAUGCUGCAGACCCGAAACGAAGUGAUCUAUCCAUGAGCAAGUUGAAGCUAGUGUAAGAACUAGUGGAGGACUGAACCCAUAGGCGUUGAAAAGCCCCGGGAUGACUUGUGGAUAGGGGUGAAAGGCCAAUCAAACUUCGUGAUAGCUGGUUCUCUCCGAAAUAUAUUUAGGUAUAGCGUUGUGUCGUAAUAUAAGGGGGUAGAGCACUGAAUGGGCUAGGGCAUACACCAAUGUACCAAACCCUAUCAAACUCCGAAUACCUUAUAUGUAAUCACAGCAGUCAGGCGGCGAGUGAUAAAAUCCGUCGUCAAGAGGGAAACAACCCAGACUACCAGCUAAGGUCCCUAAAUCUUACUUAAGUGGAAAACGAUGUGAAGUUACUUAAACAACCAGGAGGUUGGCUUAGAAGCAGCCAUCCUUUAAAGAAAGCGUAAUAGCUCACUGGUCUAGUGAUUUUGCGCGGAAAAUAUAACGGGGCUAAAGUAAGUACCGAAGCUGUAGACUUGAUUUUAUCAAGUGGUAGGAGAGCGUUCUAUUUGCGCCGAAGGUAUACCGGUAAGGAGUGCUGGAGCGAAUAGAAGUGAGCAUGCAGGCAUGAGUAGCGAUAAUUAAUGUGAGAAUCAUUAACGCCGUAAACCCAAGGUUUCCUACGCGAUGCUCGUCAUCGUAGGGUUAGUCGGGUCCUAAGUCGAGUCCGAAAGGGGUAGACGAUGGCAAAUUGGUUAAUAUUCCAAUACCAACAUUAGUGUGCGAUGGAAGGACGCUUAGGGCUAAGGGGGCUAGCGGAUGGAAGUGCUAGUCUAAGGUCGUAGGAGGUUAUACAGGCAAAUCCGUAUAACAAUACUCCGAGAACUGAAAGGCUUUUUGAAGUCUUCGGAUGGAUAGAAGAACCCCUGAUGCCGUCGAGCCAAGAAAAGUUUCUAAGUUUAGCUAAUGUUGCCCGUACCGUAAACCGACACAGGUGGGUGGGAUGAGUAUUCUAAGGCGCGUGGAAGAACUCUCUUUAAGGAACUCUGCAAAAUAGCACCGUAUCUUCGGUAUAAGGUGUGGUUCGCUUCGUAUUAGGAUUUACUCCGAAAGCGAAGAAACUUACAACAAAGAGUCCCUCCCGACUGUUUACCAAAAACACAGCACUCUGCUAACUCGUAAGAGGAUGUAUAGGGUGUGACGCCUGCCCGGUGCUCGAAGGUUAAUUGAUGGGGUUAGCAUUAGCGAAGCUCUUGAUCGAAGCCCGAGUAAACGGCGGCCGUAACUAUAACGGUCCUAAGGUAGCGAAAUUCCUUGUCGGUUAAAUACCGACCUGCAUGAAUGGCGUAACGAGAUGGGAGCUGUCUCAAAGAGGGAUCCAGUGAAAUUGUAGUGGAGGUGAAAAUUCCUCCUACCCGCGGCAAGACGGAAAGACCCCGUGGACCUUUACUACAGCUUGACACUGCUAUUUGGAUAAGAAUGUGCAGGAUAGGUGGGAGGCUUUGAGUAUAUGACGCCAGUUGUAUAUGAGCCAUUGUUGAGAUACCACUCUUUCUUAUUUGGGUAGCUAACCAGCUUGAGUUAUCCUCAAGUGGGACAAUGUCUGGUGGGUAGUUUGACUGGGGCGGUCGCCUCCCAAAUAAUAACGGAGGCUUACAAAGGUUGGCUCAGAACGGUUGGAAAUCGUUCGUAGAGUAUAAAGGUAUAAGCCAGCUUAACUGCAAGACAUACAAGUCAAGCAGAGACGAAAGUCGGUCUUAGUGAUCCGGUGGUUCUGUGUGGAAGGGCCAUCGCUCAAAGGAUAAAAGGUACCCCGGGGAUAACAGGCUGAUCUCCCCCAAGAGCUCACAUCGACGGGGAGGUUUGGCACCUCGAUGUCGGCUCAUCGCAUCCUGGGGCUGGAGCAGGUCCCAAGGGUAUGGCUGUUCGCCAUUUAAAGCGGUACGCGAGCUGGGUUCAGAACGUCGUGAGACAGUUCGGUCCCUAUCUGCCGUGGGCGUAAGAAGAUUGAAGAGAUUUGACCCUAGUACGAGAGGACCGGGUUGAACAAACCACUGGUGUAGCUGUUGUUCUGCCAAGAGCAUCGCAGCGUAGCUAAGUUUGGAAAGGAUAAACGCUGAAAGCAUCUAAGCGUGAAGCCAACUCUAAGAUGAAUCUUCUCUAAGCUCUCUAGAAGACUACUAGUUUGAUAGGCUGGGUGUGUAAUGGAUGAAAGUCCUUUAGCUGACCAGUACUAAUAGAGCGUUUGGCUUAUCUUU